Neoarius graeffei (lesser salmon catfish) is the source of this 455-nucleotide long non-coding RNA. RefSeq lists it as uncharacterized. NCBI's taxonomy places the organism in Eukaryota, Metazoa, Chordata, Actinopteri, Siluriformes, Ariidae. The transcript is spliced from 4 exons. The record is from RefSeq and is a predicted model, not a curated record.
UGUGCAGGAUCAGCCGCUGGUGUCAACAAUCAAGUAACGAUGGCCAGGACUGUUUUUUGAGGAGGAGGUUUGUGCUGAAUUCUUCCGCAUCAACCGUAUUGACCUGAAGUCAACAUUCCUGACAUCGCUAGACAAUCACACCCAGGGGUUGCUGAAGAUGUACAGAGCCAAAGCAAGACAGGGAAGGUGGAACAACUUGGAUGAACUUCUGGAGAAACUGGAUGCCCAGACCACAGAUCUAACUGCUCAUAGAAGGUCUGCUGUUCUUCAUGGUUGGUCUUCCCCUGUACUUGAGAGAGCCAGCUUCGAUUUUAAAGACUAUUAAGGAGACUGAGGCACUGGGGCCACACACAAAGGCCAUGAAAAUGGGGAUCCUGGAAGUGACUGACAGUUCUACCAACUCAGGACCAUAUCCCACAGCGGUUAAUGUGGCUAUUGAGGUAUUUCACCUGACG